UACGAAGGGGGCUAGCGUUGUUCGGAAUUACUGGGCGUAAAGCGCACGUAGGCGGACUAUUAAGUCAGAUGUGAAAGCCCGGGGCUCAACCUCGGAACUGCAUUUGAAACUGUUAGUCUAGAGGUCAGGAGAGGUUCGUGGAAUGCCGAGUGUAGAGGUGAAAUUCGUAGAUAUUCGGUGGAACACCAGUGGCGAAGGCGACGAACUGGACUGAUACUGACGCUGAGGUGCGAAAGUGUGGGGAGCAAACAGG
This 253-nucleotide ribosomal RNA is filed under the name uncultured bacterium. Its description in RNAcentral is "partial 16S ribosomal RNA". It matches the Rfam family "Bacterial small subunit ribosomal RNA", at positions 524 to 776 of the family's 1533-position model. The record is from RNAcentral.